CAUGGAUGUUGGAGCCCAGGUCGUUCCGCAGGGCGCUGGUCACCGCGCCGGAGCCGCUGCAGACCGGACCGAGCGGAGGUUCGCAAAAAAACAGGGAACUCAUGAUGAAAGAUAACUAAAAAAUGCUGAGAGCACGGAAGAUGGGGGGACCAUCACUGUCACAGCUGGAAGACUCUAACAUGGGCUCCUGCAGCAAACACCAACCCUAAAAAGUCCUUUAGGAGCCACAGAGGGCUUCAUCUCCUGACGGAACCGAAGGUUUGACGCAGAUCGAAAUAAUAAGCACCAGCCUCAUUCCUCGUCACCCUCAUGUUUCUUGUCUCCGUCUUUGUCCAGAUCUGCUGAUGCUGCCGGCCGACUGAGGAGGAGCUUUCUGUCCUUAUCAUCCCCCGGUUCACCGCGGCUCUACCCAGUCUCCAUGCGGCGCGGAGGGGCAGGAUGCAGCGCCGCAGAGCCCGGCCUCUCCAUGGAUCAUGUUGCAAAGUGCUAAACUCGGCACUAUCACCUUAUCAGCCCCUCCCACAUCCCUCCCAAAGCCUCUCACUCUGUCUCCAUGACGAGACUCAGCCAAGGCUUAUAGCUGGACUUCAAUAUGGCCAUUUCAUUUUGAUUUGUUACGCAUUUUUUGUUCAGAACAUGUAUUUUAGAAGUAAUUCCAAGUUUGAUUGCUUCUCAUUAAAGAAAAGUAAAACAUUAAAAAUGAUUUUAAAUUAUAUCAUCAUUCUAAAAUUUGCUGUAUGGUUAUAAUAAAUGUAAUAAAUUGUUUUCUACAUCCAAAGAAAGCAAUUACCCACAAAGGUUUAUAUAUAUAUAUAUAUUCCAAUAUUUUGUCCCAUAAUUGCAUUCAAAGCAAAAUCUGGGAUGGAGAAGAUAAUAUUUACCCAUCAAAAGUCACCAUAUAUAUGAACAAAUACUAAUAUUUGCCAUGUCAGUUGCAUUAAACACAAGUUUAUUAAUAAUAGGGUAGGUACCAGAAUUUCUUUCAAUACCGUCGUUCCCAUAAAACCAACUGUUUUGAAUUGGACAAUAAUAGGAUUCAACGGGAUUGCACUGAAUUUACAUGCAUUGUGCAGAACUCGAUAUUGUAUAUUAGAAUAUGAAUUAGAUCAGUUUAUUUUGACUAUUAAGUGCUUUGUAUCACUAUGGUUUUCUUUUGAGAAUAAACUAUUGAUCCCACUUUA
This is a long non-coding RNA of Xiphophorus couchianus (Monterrey platyfish), 1181 nucleotides long. RefSeq lists it as uncharacterized. The record is from RefSeq and is a predicted model, not a curated record. NCBI's taxonomy places the organism in Eukaryota, Metazoa, Chordata, Actinopteri, Cyprinodontiformes, Poeciliidae. The transcript has 2 exons.